AUCCUUUUCUCUUAAAGCCAAAAGGAUAUAUGCUAAAAUUGGAACAAUUCAGAGAUUAGCAAGGCCUCCACACAAGGAUUACAUAGAAAUCUGUGAAGUGUUCUGUGAAACC
Molecule: small nuclear RNA, 112 nt
Organism: Numida meleagris (helmeted guineafowl)
Lineage: Eukaryota; Metazoa; Chordata; Aves; Galliformes; Numididae
Source: Ensembl